This 429-nucleotide ribosomal RNA is filed under the name Chloroflexota bacterium. RNAcentral describes it as "Chloroflexi bacterium partial 16S ribosomal RNA". It matches the Rfam family "Bacterial small subunit ribosomal RNA", at positions 355 to 776 of the family's 1533-position model. Lineage: Bacteria; Bacillati; Chloroflexota. The record is from RNAcentral.
UGGGGAAUAUUGCACAAUGGGCGCAAGCCUGAUGCAGCCAUGCCGCGUGUGUGAAGAAGGCCUUCGGGUUGUAAAGCACUUUCAGCGGGGAGGAAGGCGAUAAGGUUAAUAACCUUGUCGAUUGACGUUACCCGCAGAAGAAGCACCGGCUAACUCCGUGCCAGCAGCCGCGGUAAUACGGAGGGUGCAAGCGUUAAUCGGAAUUACUGGGCGUAAAGCGCACGCAGGCGGUUUGUUAAGUCUGAUGUGAAAGCCCCCGGCUCAACCGGGGAGGGUCAUUGGAAACUGGGAGACUUGAGUGCAGAAGAGGAGAGUGGAAUUCCAUGUGUAGCGGUGAAAUGCGUAGAUAUAUGGAGGAACACCAGUGGCGAAGGCGGCUCUCUGGUCUGUAACUGACGCUGAGGCUCGAAAGCGUGGGGAGCAAACAGG